This 375-nucleotide ribosomal RNA is filed under the name uncultured bacterium. Its description in RNAcentral is "bacterial SSU rRNA". It matches the Rfam family "Bacterial small subunit ribosomal RNA", at positions 521 to 896 of the family's 1533-position model. The record is from RNAcentral.
UAAUACAGAGGGUGCAAGCGUUAAUCGGAAUUACUGGGCGUAAAGGGCGCGUAGGUUGCUUUGUAAGUUGGAUGUGAAAUGUCCGGGCUUAACCUGGAACGGCCAUCCAAUACUGCAAAGCUAGAGUACAGUAGAGGGAAGGGGAAUUUCCGGUGUAGCGGUGAAAUGCGUAGAUAUCGGAAGGAACAUCAGUGGCGAAGGCGCCUUCCUGGACUGAUACUGACACUGAGGCGCGACAGCGUGGGGAGCGAACAGGAUUAGAUACCCUGGUAGUCCACGCCGUAAACGAUGAGAACUAGCUGUUGGACGCGAGAGCGUUUAGUAGCGCAGCAAACGCGAUAAGUUCUCCGCCUGGGGAGUACGGCCGCAAGGUUA